ACAGCAAUGCUGAUGUAAACACGUCGCUUCUACGUCCUGUAAACACAGUUCCCUCCUUCGCUGUUGAAAUGAUUCACAAAUAUCCUUAAAGAAAGAUUUAUAAUAUGUUUUUUCGCCAAUGUAAGAUGUCCUCAUAUGUCUUUAAGGUCAUACGCAUGCGUAUAGAAAGCACUGUGCGCCGUUGUGAGACCACUUUGCAUUGCCUCAAGCCCCGUAAGACUUGAGUCAGUGUAUUGGUAUGCUCGCACUGUGAUCGGAGGAUGUUACCUUGGUUCUGAUGACCUCCAGAGAGGAAGGAAGGGGAAAGGAGGAGGCGGGCUGUAUACGCUGCGGGGACGGUGCUGGAGCCACCUAGGAGAUCCCUUUAGUUACUAUCUGAACCGGCGUCCAUAUCUUCAAGGAAAUGGCGUCAGAGGAUUUCCGGAUGUCAUGUAAUUUUCGUGAAUACCUCGCACAGCUGGAAUAACUGUAGCGAGAUGAUGGUGCAGUGACGUCUUGUUUGAAAAUGAACUGUCUCUCCACAUCCAUGUGAUUGGUGGUCAUCUGUGUUCAUUGGACAUGUGCACAGCAAGAUCUUGCAGAGCUAAUAGAAACUUGAGGGGGAAGAUGACUGUUUUUCAGCAGGCUUAUAAAGAGAUGAUCCAAGACCUGAAAGGGAACUGAAAUACAGUGAAACCCCCUCAGUGCUCUUUGAUGCGAAAUUAAUCUCAGGUAACAUUCAGUUUUGGCGACGUUGUGUCAGUAACCUCAUUGUUAAAUUACAUGCACGCAAGAAUCCACUUCUUGGCAAUGAGACCUUAAAUAGGAGAUUCACUGUGUGCAGACUGCAUCUGUAUGCCAUUGGAACCAUCACCAAUCACAGAAACAUGCCUCCCUGUUGACAGUCAUGUGUCACGGGAAGUCUGGAUGAGGAUUUCCAGCACUGGAAGAAGUGCAGCAGUUGUGUAAGAGGUUCAUCUGCCAGCGCUACAGAUGAUGCGAUGGGUAAACUACCGCAUCAUUCUCCGCCACAAGAUACUAGUCUUGCAACUAGCUUUACAAAUGUAUGUUAUCAUUAUUAUGAUGCUUAAAGUGUGUGUUGGUCAAAACGAAUGACCUGUGUUUGAAUUAUAUGUAAGAAAUUUAGAUUUAUUUACAGGAGGGGGGGGGGNGUAUUCAUUCAGAUGGCAAAGGUAGAAAAUGAUUCCAGCCUAGUGCAGUAUAUCAGUAUUCAUGGCAGAAGUAUAUGCCAUUAACCCUGUGUGGGCCAAGUUUUUGGACAGCUUGAGACAAAAUACGAAUUAAAGGACGUAUAUGACACCUGUAACCUAACCUAGCUAACUUAUAACAGAAUGUACUCUUAUUUAAUGUAACCUGUCCUAAAGUAACUUUAACCAAAGCUAAUAAAAUUAACCUGAGCUAACAUGUCGAGGAAAGUACAGAAAGGGUCAAGGUGUGUAUACUUACUGCCAUAAGCUUCAUGAAUUUAGCCUAUUGGUUUGUAUGAAGUUCACUCUGCACUGUACCUCACCAUCCAUAGGAAUACACAAACACAGAAUAGUCCCAUUUUAGGAGAACACACAAUGAAAAAGAUGUCUUUGCAUCAGUUAUGUUGAUACUGAUAAAGA
Cryptotermes secundus is the source of this 1607-nucleotide long non-coding RNA. RefSeq lists it as uncharacterized. The transcript has 3 exons. The record is from RefSeq and is a predicted model, not a curated record. Lineage: Eukaryota; Metazoa; Arthropoda; Insecta; Blattodea; Kalotermitidae.